GAUGAACGCUGGCGGCGUGCCUAACACAUGCAAGUCGAACGGGUGUGGUAUCAGGGAAAAGGGGUUUACUUCUUUGACCAGAUAACACACUAGUGGCGGACGGGUGAGUAACGCGUGGAUAACCUGCCUUAUACAGGGGGAUAACAGGGAGAAAUUCUUGCUAAUACCCCAUAGGUAUGUCUGACGCAUGUUGGACAUAUUAAAGCUUUGGCGGUAUAAGAUGGGUCCGCGUCUGAUUAGCUAGUUGGUGGGGUAAAGGCCCACCAAGGCGACGAUCAGUAGCCGGCUUGAGAGAGUGGACGGCCACAUUGGGGACUGAGACACGGCCCAAACUCCUACGGGAGGCAGCAGUGGGGAAUAUUGCACAAUGGGGGAAACCCUGAUGCAGCGACGCCGCGUGAAGGAAGAAGGUCUUCGGAUCGUAAACUUCUAUCAGCAGGGAAGAAGGAAGUGACAGUACCUGAGUAAGAAGCCCCGGCUAACUACGUGCCAGCAGCCGCGGUAAAAGUC
Molecule: ribosomal RNA, 510 nt
Filed under: uncultured bacterium
Lineage: Bacteria
Description: bacterial SSU rRNA
Rfam family: Bacterial small subunit ribosomal RNA
Source: RNAcentral